Molecule: long non-coding RNA, 398 nt
Filed under: Nicotiana tabacum (common tobacco)
Lineage: Eukaryota; Viridiplantae; Streptophyta; Magnoliopsida; Solanales; Solanaceae
Description: long non-coding RNA (NTAB_LNC008461)
Source: RNAcentral
UCUUUUCAACCACUCCAAGGAAGUAAAACAGGAUAGCAAGAAUGCUACAAUUAACCCCCAUGCCUCAAACUAACAAAAUUUUCUUUGAUUUAAAAUAGGGGCAAAAAAAACAACAUUUGUGCCAGGAAACACCCAGUGAAAGAAAAGAAGAAAUCAGGCGUCCACCUGGAGAACAAGGACAAAGAAAAGAAGCAAUCAGGCAUCCACCUGGAGAACAAGGACAAAGAAAGGAAGCAAUCAGGCGUCCACCUGGAGAACAAGGACAAAGAAAGGAAGCAAUCAGGCGUCCACCUGGAGAACAAGGACAAAGAAAGGAAGCAAUCAGGCGUCCACCUGGAUAACAAGGACAAAGAAUUGAAAUAGCAAUCAGGCGUCCACCUGGAGAACAAGGACAAAGA